GAAGAGCUCACAGACUCAUGAAGAGAGGAGAGGAUGUGAAGAUGUGUGGAGACGGAGGCAGAGAGUGGAGUGAUGCGGCCAUAAACCAAGGAAUGACAACAGCCACCCAGGAGCUGGAAGAGUUCCCUCAUGUGAGAAUAGAAAGAUGUUUCCAUUGGUUUUUACAUGAUUCAAGUCUCUGUUGCAGAAGUAUAUCUCCAGCCCCGUGAGCAAUGUAUCCUUUCCAAAGCACUGCUAAUUCAUAUGGAAUGUCGAGCUGAGGUUUCUCCGUAUGAUCCUUGAGGUUGGAAUUGUGAUAUGUGAAUUUCCUAUGAAGAA
RNAcentral lists this long non-coding RNA (318 nucleotides) under Equus caballus (horse). Its description in RNAcentral is "lncRNA (ENSECAG00000047965.1)". Lineage: Eukaryota; Metazoa; Chordata; Mammalia; Perissodactyla; Equidae. The record is from RNAcentral.